Molecule: long non-coding RNA, 250 nt
Filed under: Nicotiana benthamiana
Lineage: Eukaryota; Viridiplantae; Streptophyta; Magnoliopsida; Solanales; Solanaceae
Description: long non-coding RNA (NBEN_LNC038617)
Source: RNAcentral
ACUCCGCCCCAUACAACAUGGCCGGUCUAACCACAGCUCUAUAAAAUUUCCCCUUGAGUUUCUGUGGAACUUUCUUGUCGCACAGGAUUCCUGAUGCAAGCCUCCACUUUGACCACCCCGCUCCUAUUCGAUGAGUGACGUCCCCAUCAAUCUCUCCGUCCCCCUGAAUCACCGACCCAAGAUAUCUGACACUGUCCCUCUUGGCGAGGACAUGACCCUUGAUAGGAAAUGUUGGAGGUCUACUAUCAGG